This 82-nucleotide transfer RNA is filed under the name Olpidium bornovanus. It matches the Rfam family "tRNA". Rfam says of the family: Transfer RNA (tRNA) molecules are approximately 80 nucleotides in length. Their secondary structure includes four short double-helical elements and three loops (D, anti-codon, and T loops). The record is from Rfam by way of RNAcentral. Lineage: Eukaryota; Fungi; Olpidiomycota; Olpidiomycetes; Olpidiales; Olpidiaceae.
GACACUGUGGCGGAGCGGUUAACGCGCUGGCCUCGAAAGCCAGUUCCCUUUGGGAGCGCAGGUUCGAAUCCUGCCGGUGUCG